CUUGAACGCAUAUUGCGGCCAUGGGUUAGCCUGUGGCCACGCCUGUCCGAGGGUCGGCUUAUAAACUAUCACGACGCCCAAAAAGUCGUGGCUUGGGUUUUGCCAGCUGGCGUGAUCUCCUCUAUGAGUAAUCAUGUGAGGUGCCAGAUCUAUGGCGUUUCCCUAAUGUAUCCGGAUGCACCCUUGUCUUGGCAGAAAGCCGUGGUGAGGUGCAGUGGCGGAAUCGUGGUUUAAUAAUCGGGUUGGUACUCAGUUGUCAGUGUGUUCGGCGAUCCCCUAGUCGGCACACUCAUGAUUUCUGGGAUAAUUCCAUACCAGGCACGUUCCGUUACUGUUACUUUGUCAUUGGUUUGAUGCUGAACUUGGUCAUGUGUCUGAUGCUAUUUCAUAUAACGACGGUACCCUUCGUGGUCUGUCUUCCUGACCUCGGUUCAGACGUGAUUACCCGCUGAACUUAAGCAUAUCACUAAGCGGAGGAAAAGAAA
RNAcentral lists this ribosomal RNA (485 nucleotides) under Fasciola gigantica. Its description in RNAcentral is "eukaryotic LSU rRNA". The stretch from base 422 to 485 matches the Rfam family "Eukaryotic large subunit ribosomal RNA", at positions 1 to 64 of the family's 3401-position model. Lineage: Eukaryota; Metazoa; Platyhelminthes; Trematoda; Plagiorchiida; Fasciolidae. The record is from RNAcentral.